Molecule: ribosomal RNA, 253 nt
Filed under: uncultured bacterium
Lineage: Bacteria
Description: partial 16S ribosomal RNA
Rfam family: Bacterial small subunit ribosomal RNA
Source: RNAcentral
UACGGAGGGUGCAAGCAUUAUCCGGAUUUACUGGGUUUAAAGGGUGCGUAGGUGGGUUGGUAAGUCAGUGGUGAAAUACUUUCGCUUAACGAAGGAACUGCCAUUGAUACUAUCAAUCUUGAAUGUAGUGGAGGUAGGCGGAAUGCGUCAUGUAGCGGUGAAAUGCUUAGAUAUGACGCAGAACACCAAUUGCGAAGGCAGCUUGCUACACUACUAUUGACACUGAGGCACGAAAGCGUGGGGAUCAAACAGG